CGUUACAACAUCUUCAACCUUUCAAGCACAUCGAUUCAGGGGAAUUACAUCACAUAUGAGCAUGGCAAGAAAGCCAUGCUAAAUCCAUCUUAACAAAAUAUUUUUGUUAUUACAAUUUCCACAUGUUGCUGAAGAUGAAUUGGCUAAAGCUAUGUAACAUGACGUGAUUCAAUCACUUACAAAAUGCACGUUAGGAUGUCAUAUGGGUACUUAUUAGCAUGCUAGCCUCCUAAGAUCCCAGUCUUUCUUUUAUGCUCUUAAGUGGAACAAAAAGACAUAUUGGUUCAAUAUAAGACCAUUAGGCCUAUAAGACUACUACUAUACAUAUAAUAGUGAAGUGACCCGUUUUAAAAAUUAGGCUUAUUCAAAUACGAUACAUUUGUAUCAUGACUACAUCAGCAAGAAAUAGACAAACUAUAUUUGCACAUAAAAAUAUUUUUAAGAAAAAAUAUAAAAACAAAAAUAACUAGAUUAAAUUUUAGAAGACCACAGGUUUUGAGGCACGUGUAACACAAAACCUCAGAUAUUACGAUUUGUUUCAAGGAAACCCAGGUUUUGAGGUAUAGCAUUUCAAGAAACCCCAUGUUUAUAUCACAUACUGAUAAUUCUAUUAUUAUAUAUAAUAUUUUUAGUAUAUGUUUGCAUUGGUAUGCUCAAAAUACAUAACCAUCCCGUGUACUUCAUAUUUUUCCUUACUUUUGCAUUGUACGAUUGAAUAAACACAACCAUACUAAUAAUGACAUAUUAACCGGUUUACUUAUAUAGAUAAACAUUAAUCAUAUUACCAUAAUAAUGCUUGUAAAAAUGAGGCAAACAUGCAUAUAUAUACUCACUAAUAUCUCGUUAUUUUUUUGCAAUUAAUAUGCAUAAAUAUAUUAGACAAAUAACAAUAUAAGCUUAAACAUGAGAUUUCGUGGAACAUUUUUCCCCAAAACCUAGGGUUCUUCAUCACAAAUUGUAAUGCAUGAUGUUUUGUGUUAUAAGUGUCGCAAAACCUGGGGUUUUUGUGAAAUUUACUCAAAUAACUACAUUUUUGGCUAUCAUAGAAGAUCCAAUGGACCCGUAUUGCAUUGCGUUGGAUGCACCGUCACCAAGAUCUUGUUUCAUAGGAACAAACAAAAAAAUAGAACGAUAUUUUUCAUUGAGACCACCUUCCCCAAGACAAAAGAGAGAA
RNAcentral lists this long non-coding RNA (1174 nucleotides) under Oryza sativa (Asian cultivated rice). Its description in RNAcentral is "long non-coding RNA (OSAT_LNC001648)". The record is from RNAcentral. Lineage: Eukaryota; Viridiplantae; Streptophyta; Magnoliopsida; Poales; Poaceae.